Molecule: long non-coding RNA, 295 nt
Organism: Dermochelys coriacea (leatherback sea turtle)
Lineage: Eukaryota; Metazoa; Chordata; Testudines; Dermochelyidae
Exons: 2
Source: RefSeq, a predicted model, not a curated record
CCCGGGACCUUCACUUUGAACAAAGGAGAAAAGCCCCCGCGGUUUGCGGGAGUUUGUUUACCAAUGAACCAACGCGUGUCUACAGCAGGGUAGGGGGAAACAAAAAAGGGAAGCGAACGCGUAAAUACAAGCAAAGUCAAAUCCAAAUAAAAAGACCCAGAAUCCUUUAUAGAAUCUGGAGUAAAUGUCGUAUCGAUGCGUCCUGUUGGAAACAGAAGAUCUACCGUGGAAACCUCAUAUUUUAAGAAUGUGUAAAUUUUGUGUAUAUAAAAUAAAGAUUUACAUUGUUAACAGU